RNAcentral lists this ribosomal RNA (701 nucleotides) under Pseudomonas sp. Its description in RNAcentral is "bacterial SSU rRNA". It matches the Rfam family "Bacterial small subunit ribosomal RNA", at positions 85 to 782 of the family's 1533-position model. RNAcentral also lists the same sequence under 1 other name. The record is from RNAcentral. Lineage: Bacteria; Pseudomonadati; Pseudomonadota; Gammaproteobacteria; Pseudomonadales; Pseudomonadaceae.
CCUGGAUUCAGCGGCGGACGGGUGAGUAAUGCCUAGGAAUCUGCCUGGUAGUGGGGGACAACGUUUCGAAAGGAACGCUAAUACCGCAUACGUCCUACGGGAGAAAGCAGGGGACCUUCGGGCCUUGCGCUAUCAGAUGAGCCUAGGUCGGAUUAGCUAGUUGGUGAGGUAAUGGCUCACCAAGGCGACGAUCCGUAACUGGUCUGAGAGGAUGAUCAGUCACACUGGAACUGAGACACGGUCCAGACUCCUACGGGAGGCAGCAGUGGGGAAUAUUGGACAAUGGGCGAAAGCCUGAUCCAGCCAUGCCGCGUGUGUGAAGAAGGUCUUCGGAUUGUAAAGCACUUUAAGUUGGGAGGAAGGGUUGUAGAUUAAUACUCUGCAAUUUUGACGUUACCGACAGAAUAAGCACCGGCUAACUCUGUGCCAGCAGCCGCGGUAAUACAGAGGGUGCAAGCGUUAAUCGGAAUUACUGGGCGUAAAGCGCGCGUAGGUGGUUUGUUAAGUUGGAUGUGAAAUCCCCGGGCUCAACCUGGGAACUGCAUCCAAAACUGGCAAGCUAGAGUAUGGUAGAGGGUGGUGGAAUUUCCUGUGUAGCGGUGAAAUGCGUAGAUAUAGGAAGGAACACCAGUGGCGAAGGCGACCACCUGGACUGAUACUGACACUGAGGUGCGAAAGCGUGGGGAGCAAACAGGAUUAGA